This is a long non-coding RNA of Oncorhynchus masou masou (cherry salmon), 1446 nucleotides long. RefSeq lists it as uncharacterized. The record is from RefSeq and is a predicted model, not a curated record. The transcript has 2 exons. Lineage: Eukaryota; Metazoa; Chordata; Actinopteri; Salmoniformes; Salmonidae.
CACACACACCUUCUACACAAGACCGAGGUAACGCAACACACACAUCUUCUACACAAGACCGAGGUAACGCAACACACACAUCUUCUACACAAGACCAAGGUAACGCAACACACACCUUCUACACAAGACCAAGGUAACACAACACACACACCUUCUACACAAGACCAAGGUAACGCAACACACACACUUUCUACACAAGACCAAGGUAACACAACACACACACCUUCUACACAACAAGGUAACGCAACACGCACACCUUCUACACAAGACCGAGGUAACACAACACACACAUCUUCUACACAAGACCAAGGUAACACAACACACACACCUUCUACACAACAAGGUAACGCAACACGCACACCUUCUACACAAGACCGAGGUAACACAACACACACAUCUUCUACACAAGACCGAGGUAACGCAACACGCACACCUUCUACACAAGACCAAGGUAACGCAACACACACACUUUCUACACAAGACCAAGGUAACACAACACACACACCUUCUACACAAGACCAAGGUAAUGCAGCACACACCUUCUACACAACAAGGUAACGCAACACACACACCUUCUACACAAGACCGAGGUAACACAACACACACACCUUCUACACAACAAGGUAACGCAACACGCACACCUUCUACACAACAAGGUAACACAACACACACACCUUCUACACAAGACCAAGGUAACACAACACGCACACCUUCUACACAAGACCGAGGUAACGCAACACACACACCUUCUACACAAGACCAAGGUAACGCAACACACACACCUUCUACACAAGACCAAGGUAACACAACACACACACCUUCUACACAACAAGGUAACGCAACACGCACACCUUCUACACAAGACCAAGGUAACACAACACACACACCUUCUACACAACAAGGUAACGCAACACGCACACCUUCUACACAAGACCAAGGUAACACAACACACACACCUUCUACACAACAAGGUAACGCAACACACACACCUUCUACACAAGACCGAGGUAACACAACACACACAUCUUCUACACAAGACCGAGGUAACGCAACACGCACACCUUCUACACAAGACCAAGGUAACACAACACACACACCUUCUACACAAGACCAAGGUAACACAACACACACACCUUCUACACAACAAGGUAACGCAACACGCACACCUUCUACACAAGACCAAGGUAACGCAACACACACACCUUCUACACAAGACCAAGGUAACAACGCACACCUUCUACACAAGACCGAGGUAACACAACACACACACCUUCUACACAAGACCAAGGUAACGCAACACACACCUUCUACACAAGACCAAGGUAACGCAACACACACCUUCUACACAAGACCGAGGUAACACAACACACACACACCUUCUACACAACAAGGUAACACAACACACACCUUCUACACAAGACCAAGGUAACACAACACACACACACC